AGAGUUUGAUCCUGGCUCAGAUUGAACGCUGGCGGCAUGCCUUACACAUGCAAGUCGAACGGCAGCACGGAGCUUGCUCUGGUGGCGAGUGGCGAACGGGUGAGUAAUAUAUCGGAACGUACCCUAGAGUGGGGGAUAACGUAGCGAAAGUUACGCUAAUACCGCAUACGAUCUAAGGAUGAAAGUGGGGGAUCGCAAGACCUCAUGCUCGUGGAGCGGCCGACAUCUGAUUAGCUAGUUGGUAGGGUAAAGGCCUACCAAGGCAUCGAUCAGUAGCUGGUCUGAGAGGACGACCAGCCACACUGGAACUGAGACACGGUCCAGACUCCUACGGGAGGCAGCAGUGGGGAAUUUUGGACAAUGGGCGAAAGCCUGAUCCAGCAAUGCCGCGUGAGUGAAGAAGGCCUUCGGGUUGUAAAGCUCUUUUGUCAGGGAAGAAACGGUGAGAGCUAAUAUCUCUUGCUAAUGACGGUACCUGAAGAAUAAGCACCGGCUAACUACGUGCCAGCAGCCGCGGUAAUACGUAGGGUGC
This 532-nucleotide ribosomal RNA is filed under the name uncultured bacterium. RNAcentral's name for it is "bacterial SSU rRNA". It matches the Rfam family "Bacterial small subunit ribosomal RNA", at positions 8 to 535 of the family's 1533-position model. The record is from RNAcentral.